This 389-nucleotide long non-coding RNA is filed under the name Ixodes scapularis (black-legged tick). RNAcentral describes it as "uncharacterized LOC115312250, transcript variant X1". The record is from RNAcentral. Lineage: Eukaryota; Metazoa; Arthropoda; Arachnida; Ixodida; Ixodidae.
GGCUCUCAAAAGCAGCGCCAGUCACAUAGGGCUAGCAGCGACCAAAACGGGCACACAACUGACCGGUCCAACUGAUGCAGAACGAGAGCCGAUCAUGCACAAAAUGCCACUAAAGCAGUCGGGAGUUACAAGGGAGACCAAAGAUUCAACUGAAUCACAAGAAAUAGCACAAGGACCCAAUUUGACACCCGCAACAAUGUGUUGUCAUGAUUUGUUGAUGAGGAAUGUUGUGCUUUCUGCCUACACCCCAAUGACUAUACUGCAGCCCAGCUUCCAGUUGAUGCGGGAGGCACUAUAGGGCCCUACUGCCUAACACUUGCUGACGAGGACACCCUUGCGAAGAAUGAGAUUGUGGAUCCUACCAUCGGCCUCCAGAAUAAGGAUGGAAU